Molecule: ribosomal RNA, 1089 nt
Filed under: Triticum aestivum (bread wheat)
Lineage: Eukaryota; Viridiplantae; Streptophyta; Magnoliopsida; Poales; Poaceae
Description: partial small subunit ribosomal RNA
Source: RNAcentral
AUGUUCAAUAAUGCCAUUGCGUACGCUGCCCUUAGGAAGAUCGUGCGUACUGGGGCCAGAUACACUUGGACUAACAAGCAACGUGAGCCAAUCAGAUGUGUCCUGGACCGUAUCUUUUGCACUAGUGACUGGGAGGCGCUGUUUCCUCUCUGUACUUUAGUGGCGGAAACGCGCAUAGGAUCCGAUCACGUCCCGCUGAUUCUGUCCUCAGGGGAGGACAACGUGCGCCGUAGUCAUAGAUUCUUCUUUGAGACAGCUUGGUUCGAACAUGAGGGUUUCAGCCAGCUAGUCACAAAUCGCUGGUCCCAGAUCGGCAACCAGUCGGGGCGUCAACGAGGACCAGUUGAGCUCUGGUCCUCAGCGGCUGCGGCUUUGCGUGCUUUCCUUAGGGGCUGGGGAGCUAACCAUGGUAGCGAGUCCAAAAGGGAGAGGGAGCGCAUUACGGCAGAUAUAGCCCUCCUCGACUCGCAGGCCGAUAUUAGAACCUUCUCUGGUGACGAAUGGGAGCUUAGAUAUUCUCUUGAACAUCAGGUCCUGGCUAUUCUCAGGGCGAAGGAGGAAUACUGGCGCCGUAGGGGUGGUGUCAAGUGGGUAGUGAAAGGCGAUGCAAACACAGGAUACUUUCACGCUUACGCUAACGGUCGCAAACGGAAGAGCACUAUCCUUAGGCUCCAAUCAGAACGUGGGACGCUGAUAUCUCAGAACGAUAUAGCGAAAUACAUCUAUAGCUUCUUCGUUGAGCUGUUGGGAACAGCUGAGGUGAAAAACCUAAGUCUUAGGGCAGACUUUUGGGGCAUGCACGAACGAGUCUCGCAGCAGGAAAACGACGCCCUUAUGGUGUCCUUUUCGGCCCAGGAGAUUGAUUGCGCGCUUGCGGGUAUGAAGAACAACACGGCCCCAGGGCCUGACGGCUGGCCGGUGGAGUUUUUCAAGCGCUUCUGGCCGCUGCUUAGGGACUUAUUCCAAGCGAUCAUAAACGGCUUCGCCCUAGGUACGGUUGACCUGUCUCGUCUGAAUUACGGGGCCAUCUGCCUAAUCCCCAAGGUCAAAGGGGCAGAAGCUAUUACACAGUUUCGGCCGAUUACGCUC